Molecule: non-coding RNA, 26 nt
Filed under: Rattus norvegicus (Norway rat)
Lineage: Eukaryota; Metazoa; Chordata; Mammalia; Rodentia; Muridae
Source: RNAcentral
UGAGGUUCCCCACUCUUUGAAGCUUC